AUGCCGCGUGAGUGAGAAGGCCUUUGGGUUGUAAGCUCUUUUGUAGGGGAAGAUAAUGACUGUCCCUAAGAAUAAGGUCCGGCUACUUCGUGCCAGCAGCCGCGGUACUACGAAGGGACCUAGCGUGGUUCGGAAUUACUGGGCGUAAAGCGCGCGUAGGCCGUUGAGUUAGUUAAUUGUGAAAUCCCAAAGCUUAACUUUGGAACUGCAAUUAAAACUGCUCGACUAGAGUUUGAUAGAGGAAAGCGGAAUACAUAGUGUAGAGGUGAAAUUCGUAGAUAUUAUGUAGAACACCAGUUGCGAAGGCGGCUUUCUGGGUCAACACUGACGCUGAGGCGCGAAAGUAUGGGUAGCAAAGAGGAUUAGAUACCCUCGUAGUCCAUACCAUAAACGAUGAUUGCUAGAUGUAGGAAAUUUAUUUUCAGUAUCGCAGCUAACGCAUUAAGCAAUCCGACUGAGGAGUACGACCGCAAGGUUAAAACUCAAAUGAAUUGACGGGGACCCCGCACAAGCGGUGGAGCAUGUGGUUUAAUUCGAAGAUACGCGCAGAAACUUAACAACCCUUGACAUGUCUGUCGCGAGUUUAGG
This 588-nucleotide ribosomal RNA is filed under the name uncultured archaeon. RNAcentral describes it as "bacterial SSU rRNA". It matches the Rfam family "Bacterial small subunit ribosomal RNA", at positions 394 to 1004 of the family's 1533-position model. The record is from RNAcentral.